UACGAAGGGGGCUAGCGUUGUUCGGAAUUACUGGGCGUAAAGCGAACGUAGGCGGUGUUCCAUGUCAGAGGUGAAAGCCUGGGGCUCAACUCCAGAAUUGCCUUUGAAACGGGGACGCUUGAGUCCGAGAGAGGAUGGCGGAAUUCCUAGUGUAGAGGUGAAAUUCGUAGAUAUUAGGAAGAACACCAGUGGCGAAGGCGGCCAUCUGGCUCGGUACUGACGCUCAGGUUCGAAAGCGUGGGGAGCAAACAGGAUUAGAAACCCCCGUAGUCC
RNAcentral lists this ribosomal RNA (273 nucleotides) under uncultured bacterium. RNAcentral describes it as "partial 16S ribosomal RNA". It matches the Rfam family "Bacterial small subunit ribosomal RNA", at positions 524 to 796 of the family's 1533-position model. The record is from RNAcentral.